This 897-nucleotide long non-coding RNA is filed under the name Phasianus colchicus (ring-necked pheasant). Its description in RNAcentral is "lncRNA (ENSPCLG00000000524.1)". The record is from RNAcentral. Lineage: Eukaryota; Metazoa; Chordata; Aves; Galliformes; Phasianidae.
AUGGAUACGCCCAAAGGCAAAACAGCAAAAAAGAAAAAGCUAACUGAAAGUAAAAAACAAAGUUCAGUAAUUGAUGAAAUGAUGGAACAAACCACCAGACCAAAACGACCUCAAAGAGCAGUGCAACCAAAAAAUUACAAAGAUCCUUCCAGUUCAGAGUCAGGAAGUGAAUUUUCAGCAUAUACCUAUAAGAGGGAGAAAUCAAAAGUACAGAAAUGUGUGAAUGAGAAAAACAAAGAUGGUAAUCAUCAGAAGGAUCUCCAGAAUUUGGAGGAGCCAAAGACAGUAGCAAACUGUGUAAAGAAAGCAUUUAUUAAAUCAAAGAACUCUACAGAACAAAAGGAAAUUGAAAUGUCUUCACCUGAGAGUCCUGCAUCUCUAGAGACAAUGAGAUGUGCUGAGAGAAUAUCAGAGGGAUGUGUUACUCAAGACCAUACUUCUAGUGAAGGGUCACCUAGUCUUCAGAAGUCAACACCAGAAAAAAAGGAAACAGUAAACUUUGAGAAAGGAAUCUCUCCCAGUAAUCUCUGUCUACAAAAGAAGAAUACUCAAAAUAUGCAUCUAAACCAGUCUCCUGAAGUGACUGUUAAAAAGUUAAUAAUUGGAAAGAAAAGUUUCUCACCAGUUCUAACUACUUCAUAUUUGGAAUUAUCUUCAGUAUCUGUGUCCAGUGGAAGUGGAGUACAGUCUUGGAGUCAAGAACCUUAUGGCCCUGCACAUGAAUCAGCAUACGAAAAUUUGUCCACUGUAUCUGUAAGUGAUCCAGCUGCUUUGGAUGUGGACAUCUGGGAACCUGGUUGUUCAACUAUCGAUAUAUGUCAGAAGCUCCGAAAAGAAUACACUAAGAAAAUUGAGGCAAGAUAUUUCAUAUACAGUGUUAGUUAUGUAUGUGGUUAA